GGCCACAGCUGUGGGCGCCUGAGGUCCACUCACCUGCAGGCUGAGGGCCCGGGAGGAGAAGGCUGGAACGCAGCAGGCCAGGAUCGGACACCAGAAAGGGGCUUUGCUCUUCCUGUCCUCAUCGGGACACAGCCAGCCUGGCUGGUUCUCCUC
Molecule: long non-coding RNA, 153 nt
Organism: Perognathus longimembris pacificus (Pacific pocket mouse)
Lineage: Eukaryota; Metazoa; Chordata; Mammalia; Rodentia; Heteromyidae
Exons: 3
Source: RefSeq, a predicted model, not a curated record